GACGAACGCUGGCGGCGUGCUUAACACAUGCAAGUCGAACGGAAAGGCCCUGCUUUUGUGGGGUGCUCGAGUGGCGAACGGGUGAGUAACACGUGAGUAACCUGCCCUUGACUUUGGGAUAACUUCAGGAAACUGGGGCUAAUACCGGAUAGGAGCUCCUGCUGCAUGGUGGGGGUUGGAAAGUUUCGGCGGUUGGGGAUGGUCUCGCGGGUUAUCAGCUUGUUGGUGGGGUAGGGGCUUACCAAGGCUUUGACGGGUAGCCGGCCUGAGAGGGUGGCCGGCGACCUUGGGACUGCGAGACGGACCAGAAUCCUACGGGAGGCAGCAGUGGGGAAUAUUGCGCAAUGGGCGGAAGCCUGAUGCAGCAACGCCGCGUGCGGGAUGACGGCCUUCGGGUUGUAAACCGCUUUCGCCUGUGACGAAGCGUGAGUGACGGUAAUGGGUAAAGAAGCACCGGCUAACUACGUG
This 468-nucleotide ribosomal RNA is filed under the name uncultured bacterium. Its description in RNAcentral is "partial 16S ribosomal RNA". It matches the Rfam family "Bacterial small subunit ribosomal RNA", at positions 28 to 507 of the family's 1533-position model. The record is from RNAcentral.